Molecule: ribosomal RNA, 253 nt
Filed under: uncultured bacterium
Lineage: Bacteria
Description: partial 16S ribosomal RNA
Rfam family: Bacterial small subunit ribosomal RNA
Source: RNAcentral
UACGGAGGGGGCUAGCGUUGUUCGGAAUUACUGGGCGUAAAGCGCACGUAGGCGGCUUUGCAAGUCAGAGGUGAAAGCCCGGGGCUCAACCCCGGAAUUGCCUUUGAGACUGCAUCGCUAGAAUUGUGGAGAGGUAAGUGGAAUUCCGAGUGUAGAGGUGAAAUUCGUAGAUAUUGGGAAGAACACCGGUGGCGAAGGCGGCGACCUGGUCCGACACUGACGCUGAGGCGCGAAAGCGUGGGGAGCAAACAGG